Molecule: ribosomal RNA, 448 nt
Filed under: uncultured bacterium
Lineage: Bacteria
Description: bacterial SSU rRNA
Rfam family: Bacterial small subunit ribosomal RNA
Source: RNAcentral
GGCGUAGCAAUACGUCCAGUGGCGAACGGGUGAGUAAUGUGUCGCUAACGUGCCCCGGACUCCGGGAUAGCCGCCCGAAAGGGCGGGUAAUACCGGGUAACAUACUUGGGAGGCAUCUCCCGAGUCUCAAAGGUCCGCCGGUCCGGGAGCGGGCGACAUCGUAUCAGCUAGUUGGUGAGGUAACGGCUCACCAAGGCGACGACGCGUAGCCGGACUGAGAGGUCGGCCGGCCACAUCGGGACUGAGACACUGCCCGGACUCCUACGGGGGGCUGCAGUAACGAAUCUUCCCCAAUGCACGAAAGUGUGAGGGAGCGACGCCGCGUGUGGGACGAAGUCCUUCGGGAUGUAAACCACUGUCAGGGGUUACCAAGUUCUGAGGAGCCCCAGAGGAAGUGGCGGCUAACUCUGUGCCAGCAGCCGCGGUAAGACAGAGGCCACGAGCGUUA